CUGUCACGUGCGCUCUCUCCUCCGUCCUCUUACGCACGCCCUCGUGGCCAGAUAUUUGGUAAUUUCUUUUCUGAGAAUAAAUAGAUAUUGUGCCCCCAUUUGUUUGUUGUUUUGCCCAGCUGAAAGGUGGAUCAAAUAUGAAAUACGUGAACGUUCAAUAGUGUGAAAAGCAAGCCCUGGUUUUGUUGAAAUUCCAUUGAAUCUCUGUGAUACCUAAGUACUAAUGCUCAUACUUUGCAAUUUUCUCUCCACAUCUUUCAGUCAUGGGUUCUUGAGGAAAGCAGGUAAUGCAUUUUGUUUGUGUCAACUAUACUGAAUCUGCAAAGCCUUUUUUGUCUGUGGAGAAACUCACACUCUGCAUUAGUUGCAAAAGCUGCUGAUUUUGAUCUUAACAAUUGCAAGGAAACUAUGGAGAAACUUGCACAGUUUGGGCAGCGUCAGCAGGCAGAGUUGCUGUUCAAGUAGCAGCAGAUCACCAGCG
This 481-nucleotide long non-coding RNA is filed under the name Triticum aestivum (bread wheat). Its description in RNAcentral is "long non-coding RNA (TAES_LNC025469)". Lineage: Eukaryota; Viridiplantae; Streptophyta; Magnoliopsida; Poales; Poaceae. The record is from RNAcentral.